UACGUAGGGCGCAAGCGUUGUCCGGAAUUAUUGGGCGUAAAGGGCGCGUAGGCGGUGCGGUAAGUCACCUGUGAAACCCCGGGCUUAACCUGGGAACUGCAUUUGUGACUGGCAGCUAGAGUAUGGCAGAGGGGGGUAGAAUUCCACGUGUAGCAGUGAAAUGCGUAGAGAUGUGGAGGAGUACCGAUGGCGAAGGCAGCCCCUGGGCCAAUACUGACGCUCAUGCACGAAAGCGUGGGGAGCAAACAGG
This 250-nucleotide ribosomal RNA is filed under the name uncultured bacterium. RNAcentral's name for it is "partial 16S ribosomal RNA". It matches the Rfam family "Bacterial small subunit ribosomal RNA", at positions 524 to 776 of the family's 1533-position model. The record is from RNAcentral.